Molecule: non-coding RNA, 110 nt
Filed under: Rubrivivax sp.
Lineage: Bacteria; Pseudomonadati; Pseudomonadota; Betaproteobacteria; Burkholderiales; Sphaerotilaceae
Description: Glycine sequence
Rfam family: Glycine riboswitch aptamer
About the family: This family represents the bacterial glycine riboswitch. Glycine riboswitches usually consist of two metabolite-binding aptamers domains with similar structures in tandem. The aptamers cooperatively bind glycine to regulate the expression of downstream genes.
Source: RNAcentral
UUCAUGCCGUCUGGAGACCCGUCACGACCUGCGUGACGCACCGAAGGAGCAAGGCCGCGCGCAGGCUGCCGCGGUCGAAUCUCUCAGGUAACGAGGACAGAGGGCGCGGC